UGUGGGCGUGGGCGGGUUCGGCGUCGGGGCUGAGGCCCCGGCCGACGGCGUUGAGGACGUCCCUCUCGGUGAGGAUGCCGAGGCCGCCGGC
RNAcentral lists this transfer RNA (91 nucleotides) under Streptomyces griseoaurantiacus. RNAcentral describes it as "tRNA-Leu". Lineage: Bacteria; Bacillati; Actinomycetota; Actinomycetes; Kitasatosporales; Streptomycetaceae. The record is from RNAcentral.